Molecule: long non-coding RNA, 1004 nt
Filed under: Cricetulus griseus (Chinese hamster)
Lineage: Eukaryota; Metazoa; Chordata; Mammalia; Rodentia; Cricetidae
Description: lncRNA (ENSCGRG00015038240.1)
Source: RNAcentral
UGUUUGCAGGCUUCAGAACUGGAGCAAGUUCCCAACCCACUCCACCUCUUUGCGUAUGUGCAGAAUGAACAUAUUUAUCUCCAGAGACUGGGAUAAUAUAAAUAAAGUCCUUGACCUUCAGAAGAUUCCCAUCUUCCACCAACAGGGCUGACCUUAUAAACAUUCUCAUCCGAAGCUUGCCUGAAGUUAGACAUACACUAUCACAGGACACCAGCAUGGACUACAAACACAACUCCAUGCUGUGGUGAAGACUAGAUUCUUGACUGUACCACAGAAAACAAUUUGGGGUCCUACCUGCCUGUGCAAAGCAGACUUGGGGCUUAUCAGGAAGAGAUUUUAGCAUAGAUCCAAGCAAGGCAGUUAAGAAAGAGAUGCUCAAAGAAACAAGAUAACACAACCCAAGCUUUUUUACUUGAAAAUCCAUAUAAAAGGAGUAUUGUCUACAUGCAGCCAGCCUUCACAGCAAGUGUUAAUUGUGCUGGAAUUCCUGCCUCUGAGCUGGUAUCAACACACUUGCACCCCUGGCGAUUGUACUCCCCACCCUGACCCUUACCUGCAGUCACUGAUUCUACCAGCACGGACUCUCCUUGUCCUUUGCAGCACUGGCUCCUUGAGAAAAGAUGGCUAUCUGGACAGUGGACUCCAUGUUGUCAUUGGAAUUAAGGCAUCACUUUAUGUUUCUGUUCUGCACAGUUCCACUCAUUUCCUCUGAUUGGCAAGCCCCACAAUCUCAUUGUGGCCAAUGAGAAACCCACUCAUCACCUCAAAUGAUCCAGUCAAGAAAAUCCCUAACUGGUCCACCCAGUUGCUUGGGUUUCAGUUGAUUCAAGAUGUAGUCAAGUUGACAACCAAGAUUAGUCAUCAUUGAAAGGUAAAACAUUUUAUCAGUGACAAAAAUGUAUUUUGUAUUGUCUAUAUAGUGUAGUGGGAUUGAACUAUAAAUUUAUUAUUGAUUUCAGCUCAGAGCGUGGCACAUGUCACAUAGAAAGUGCUUGACUAAUGAU